Molecule: ribosomal RNA, 252 nt
Filed under: uncultured bacterium
Lineage: Bacteria
Description: partial 16S ribosomal RNA
Rfam family: Bacterial small subunit ribosomal RNA
Source: RNAcentral
ACGUAGGUGGCAAGCGUUGUCCGGAUUUAUUGGGCGUAAAGCGAACGCAGGCGGGAAGACAAGUCAGAUGUGAAAGCCCUCGGCUUAACCGAGGAAUUGCAUCUGAAACUGCCUUACUUGAGUGCAGAAGAGGAGAGUGGAACUCCAUGUGUAGCGGUGGAAUGCGUAGAUAUAUGGAAGAACACCAGUGGCGAAGGCGGCUCUCUGGUCUGUAACUGACGCUGAGGUUCGAAAGCAUGGGUAGCGAACAGG